Molecule: long non-coding RNA, 374 nt
Organism: Hemicordylus capensis (graceful crag lizard)
Lineage: Eukaryota; Metazoa; Chordata; Lepidosauria; Squamata; Cordylidae
Exons: 3
Source: RefSeq, a predicted model, not a curated record
UUGGGCAGAUUGGUUCUGAUUAGUAGCAGCUGCAGCCUCAGCCCGCCGCAACACCACGAAGGCUGAGAAUACAUUCCAGAUGAUGAAUGUGAUACAGAUUUGCUGAAAAAUAUUUCUACCCUGCCUUUUGGACAUCCAAAGCAAAAUAUGUUUUUAAAGUAUCCCAGAUACCUGUCUCAAGAGCUGAGAAGUGACUCAUUUAACCACUGCAAGAAGCCUAGAAAGGUGGUGCUGGGUCUGUCGCCUUCAUCAUACCAUAGCUAAUACUGGUGAAGUUAUCCUUGAAAACCUGACUAUCUUAUUGUUAAACCAAUUUGGUUUUGUUUAGUUGUAUGUCACUUGUAAGUAGAAAAAAAAACCAAUCUGUAAGCUUU